This 23-nucleotide non-coding RNA is filed under the name Rattus norvegicus (Norway rat). Lineage: Eukaryota; Metazoa; Chordata; Mammalia; Rodentia; Muridae. The record is from RNAcentral.
UAGGAGAUGCCCAUUUUUCUGCC